GCUGGCGGCAUGCCUUACACAUGCAAGUCGAACGGCAGCACGGGGGCAACCCUGGUGGCGAGUGGCGAACGGGUGAGUAAUACAUCGGAACGUGCCCUGUUGUGGGGGAUAACUAGUCGAAAGAUUAGCUAAUACCGCAUACGACCUGAGGGUGAAAGCGGGGGACCGAAAGGCCUCGCGCAAUAGGAGCGGCCGAUGUCUGAUUAGCUAGUUGGUGGGGUAAAGGCCCACCAAGGCGACGAUCAGUAGCUGGUCUGAGAGGACGAUCAGCCACACUGGGACUGAGACACGGCCCAGACUCCUACGGGAGGCAGCAGUGGGGAAUUUUGGACAAUGGGGGCAACCCUGAUCCAGCAAUGCCGCGUGUGUGAAGAAGGCCUUCGGGUUGUAAAGCACUUUUGUCCGGAAAGAAAUGGCCUGGGUUAAUACCUCGGGUCGAUGACGGUACCGGAAGAAUAAGCACCGGCUAACUACGUGCCAGCAGCCGCGGUAAUACGUAGGGUGCGAGCGUUAAUCGGAAUUACUGGGCGUAAAGCGUGCGCAAGCGG
This 548-nucleotide ribosomal RNA is filed under the name uncultured soil bacterium. RNAcentral describes it as "bacterial SSU rRNA". It matches the Rfam family "Bacterial small subunit ribosomal RNA", at positions 35 to 578 of the family's 1533-position model. The record is from RNAcentral.